ACAUGCAAGUCGAGCGGAAAGGCCCUUCGGGGUACUCGAGCGGCGAACGGGUGAGUAACACGUGAGCAACCUGCCCCAAGCUUUGGGAUAACCCUCGGAAACGGGGGCUAAUACCGAAUAUUACUGCUGGUCGCAUGGCUGGUGGUGGAAAGUUUUUCGGCUUGGGAUGGGCUCGCGGCCUAUCAGCUUGUUGGUGGGGUGAUGGCCUACCAAGGCGACGACGGGUAGCCGGCCUGAGAGGGCGACCGGCCACACUGGGACUGAGACACGGCCCAGACUCCUACGGGAGGCAGCAGUGGGGAAUAUUGCACAAUGGGCGGAAGCCUGAUGCAGCGACGCCGCGUGAGGGAUGACGGCCUUCGGGUUGUAAACCUCUUUCAGCAGGGACGAAGCGAGAGUGACGGUACCUGCAGAAGAAGCACCGGCCAACUACGUGCCAGCAGCCGCGGUAAGACGUAGGGUGCGAGCGUUGUCCGGAUUUAUUGGGCGUAAAGAGCUCGUAGGCGGCUUGUCGCGUCGACCGUGAAAACUUGGGGCUCAACCCCAAGCCUGCGGUCGAUACGGGCAGGCUAGAGUUCGGUAGGGGAGACUGGAAUUCCUGGUGUAGCGGUGAAAUGCGCAGAUAUCAGGAGGAACACCGGUGGCGAAGGCGGGUCUCUGGGCCGAUACUGACGCUGAGGAGCGAAAGCGUGGGGAGCGAACAGGAUUAGAUACCCUGGUAGUCCACGCUGUAAACGUUGGGCGCUAGGUGUGG
Molecule: ribosomal RNA, 754 nt
Filed under: Micromonospora chokoriensis
Lineage: Bacteria; Bacillati; Actinomycetota; Actinomycetes; Micromonosporales; Micromonosporaceae
Description: bacterial SSU rRNA
Rfam family: Bacterial small subunit ribosomal RNA
Source: RNAcentral